This 82-nucleotide transfer RNA is filed under the name Opitutales bacterium. RNAcentral describes it as "tRNA-Leu". It matches the Rfam family "tRNA". Rfam says of the family: Transfer RNA (tRNA) molecules are approximately 80 nucleotides in length. Lineage: Bacteria; Pseudomonadati; Verrucomicrobiota; Opitutia; Opitutales. The record is from RNAcentral.
GCUUUAGUGGUGGAAUUGGUAGACACGUACGAUUCAGGUUCGUAUGCCGCAAGGUGUAAGGGUUCAAAUCCCUUCUAAAGCA